RNAcentral lists this ribosomal RNA (540 nucleotides) under Triticum aestivum (bread wheat). RNAcentral's name for it is "partial small subunit ribosomal RNA". Lineage: Eukaryota; Viridiplantae; Streptophyta; Magnoliopsida; Poales; Poaceae. The record is from RNAcentral.
AUGGUGCUGCCACUGAUGAAGCUCGGCUUGCUCGCGUUCCGGACGCUGAGCAAGCCCGUCGCCAAUAAACUCAAGCGCAACGCCGGCAUCCACCCCAGGUUCCGCGGGUUCAUCAUCGACGUCGCGCAGGCAAACCAUCGUUUAGCAACAAACAUGCAGAGGCGGCUUAUUGGACGUGCAACUGACAUUCACAUUCGGCCCCUGAAUGAAGAGAAAGCUAUUCAAGCUGCUACAGAUCUUCUUGGUGAACUGUUCAUUUUCUCGGUUGCUUGUGGUGCAAUAAUCUUUGAGGUUCAUAGAAGUGGCAAGUCAGAAGCCAGAAAAGAAGAGGCCCGUAAGAAGGCACUGGAGGAAAUAAGGGAAAAGAUGGAGGAACUCGAGAGGGAAAAGCAGAUGAUGAAGCUGAGGGUGGCGGAGGUGGAGCGGGUGACCGGGGUAGGGGGCGGGUGGCCGUGGGUUCUUCCAAGGGCCUUCACUUCCGGUGCCGCCCAGGCAGAGCCAGAGCCAGAGCCAGCAGCUCAGCAGCCCACGGCUGCUUAG